AGCCAGGGGACAUUGCCCUCACAACCAUAGGUGUCCUGUCACAGGGUGGGAAGAAGCUCUUCUGAAGUCUACAUUGCUUCCAGCUCAGGAGGGCAGCCAGCCCAGCUCUUGCAGUCAGGAGGGGCAGAGGUAUAACUAAAGCCAGAGGCUCAUAGGAUUAGAGGUGUGCUGGGAGGAAAGCUUCUGUUUGCUUCUAGUAUGUGACUCUUCCAAAUAAAGACUACUCAGUAAUCAAUCUCAGUAAGCAAAUGGGAAGAUUAUUCCAGUGUACGGUUAACUGAGUACAUUUCCCAGUACUGGAGGCAGGUUUAUCCUGGGUGCAGCCGGAGUUUCCUGCAUGCUGGGGGCCUCUUUCUGUACUGAUGCAAUGGAAGGUUUAGCAACCAAUACCACAGAACUGACCCCCAGAGAAUCUUCUUUUAUCAGAAAAUCCAUGUUUUGAGAGUCCUUGCUCAGUCCCAGCAAGCCAGGAAACUGCUGCAGAAGGGCCUAGGUAUUCAUCAUCACUCAUGACAAAUAACAGCCCACGGAAGCCACGCUUCUGUCUUUGUGUUCUAUCUGAGUCUCCGUGAUGGGCUGGGGCCUCACACCAGCCUGCGUAGCCCCUUGAGGCUGGCGAUUGUGCUUCUUCUGGAAAGUUAUGUAUUCAAAAGUUUUCAAAUUCAUUUUAAACCAUACAAACAAAAAAUUCUGAAUCUUAAAAAAUAUUCUGCUUGAAUAGCUGGGCCUGGUGGCACAGGCCUAUAAUCCCAGCACUUGUAAGAUGGCUGCAGGUGGACAGAUCUCGAGGCCAGACUGGAAUAUAAAGGGAAAUGAUGUUUCAUACAAUCAAAUCAGGAGCAGUGCUAUGUAGAAUCAGUUCUUUAGGAUGUUUGUAAUUAUACACAACAACUUCUGCUUUUUUCCUGAGACAGGAUUUCUCAGUGUAGUCCUGUAACUCACACUGUAUGUCCGGCUGGCUUCAAACUCAGAGAUCCACUUGUCUCUUUGUCCCAAGCCCUAGGAUAAAAGAUCUUCUAAGACCUUUGAGCUGUCACAAAUAAGAGAAUCAUGAAUGAAGGUAUAAGAGGAAAAUGCGAAAAGGUCAGAAGAUACCCAGCAUAGUUCAGUUGAUUUACAAAAGGAAUCAGAAAACUAGUUAUUUUUGUGAUCAUUUGAGAAAGCAACCAUGCAGCCUUAUGCAAUAUCAACAACGCAGCCAAUGCAAAUUAUGCCUGGACUACUUUCAAAAAUUAAACCUCCUGUUGUAACUGCCAGAACUCUGUCACAUCGUUUAAGUUGAUUGUGAUGGACCCUACAGAAAAGAAGGGCUGGCACAUAGACUUUGCUGAGUUCUUAAUGCUGGAAUAAAAAUUAUUUUUUCCCCAGUGUAUUGUUCCCCCGCACCAGCCCAGAACAGUUAAGUUUAGUCAAUACCAUUCACUGCAAUUGUCAUUAUCUUCCCCAAAGUGCUUUCUGGGUAACCUCAUUAUCUGCCAACAAAGUAUCACGGAGACAUACAGGCAGUGAAAGAGCUGCUAAUGAUGUAUCUAGCUUCACAGUGAGACACAGUCACUCUACAGAGUCACAGUGCCCAAGCAUUUCCUCUCCUUAAGGAGGAUGCUGGCCUCACACAGCUCUUGCAAAGGCAAAGGCGCUGAUUGUUGUCUGGAGACAGUGAAUUUUUUUUUAAAUUUCCAGCACUUGUAAAUUGCCUUGUUGUGAGCAGUCAUGUUAAGACAGGACACGCUUUAUUACAGUGAGCAAUUUCCUCAGUUUGUGCUUUCUAGCUAGUGAGAAACCACCCCAUUUCAAUUCCUGGAAAAGAACUGGAGAGAAGCUGAAGAUAAUCAUAGAGAAUCUAUGAUCACUUAGGCAGAAACUGCAGUCCCAAGAGAAGCCUAUUUGGUUGGAUUAUCUUUCUUAAGUAGCUGCUAGAGACAUCUGCUUUAUUCAACUUGUUCCCUAUCACUGAGUAAAAUUAAUGUGGACUAGAUAGCUGCGCUAUCGGGCAUGGCCUUCCCCUGGUAUUUAGAACUAUUUUUCCUAAGAAGCAUAAUGAUAUAUGGAAUAAGGAAAAAAUUUGAUCUUGAGGGUGGUUUUUAGUUUAAAAGAGUUGCAUAUUCUUGGCUAAGCCUUGGGACACCCACCUUUGUGCAUUUUCUUGGCUCAGUUUUGAUCACAUUCCUUAGGCUUUCUACUCCCCAUUCUCAGCAAUUAAAUGUUGAAGUGCCUUGCUGUGUUAUCGGGGUUGCAAGUUCAACUGUCUGAUGUAUGACUCACUUCGGGUGCCCUUCCUUUUUUUUUUUUUUUUCCCUACAAAAGAGAGCCAUUUGUUAUACAUCCAGAGCCCAGAAGUCUUUAUUACUCUUUGACUGCUGAAGGAUAAUUCUCUUCUUGCUAGGGAGAAAGCAGCAAAUCAAAAGAGGAUUUCAUCCAAGAAAGCACAUCCAAUAUGAAAGUAAUUGCUAGGAGUUCAAGGUCACUGUGUGUAUUGGAACAAAAGAGGGAUAAGAUCUAUUACUUUGAUUUGCUACUCCAUUUGAAUGCUCCAAUUUACUAGACUGCACCUUACAGUAAACAAAAUGGAUUAAUACUUGUUUAUCAUAGGCAGGGGGUUUCUGACUAAUUUGCUUUUCUGUUUAAUUUCUACUCAUUUGCUGACUACUGCUCAAAUUCCACUUAUUUGAUGCUUCCUGUAUGCCAGACACUCUUAGGAAUCAUCAAAUUCAUCACCAUAUAUACAAGGACUACUUUAUUAUACAUCCUGGAAGAUAGAAGCAUCACAUGUGACCCUUAAGGCUAAGGACCUCGUUGGAGAUGUGAGACACAGCAUAAAAAUAGUUUUUUAAUGGGUGCCCCAAUACCAACUCCAUGAGCAUGGGGUCUGAUAAAACCAAGCCUUGAAGGAAGGGAGUCCCUAAGGAGAGUAAGUGUGGGUAUGGUAUAUAAAAAUCAUGUGCUAGAUGAGCACUGGUAGCCAUGCUAGGUUAAGUUGAUUGAUUCCUGAGUAUCCUCCUAUGCGCCAGUUUCUCUUUUGCUGAUGUGGAGAUAAAGAUAGUGAUGAGCACAUAGCACUGUGUGAGUGGACAUGAGCAGAUCACUCAGAGACACUAAGGCAGGAAAGCAUGCCAGUCAUUGUUAUUUUAUAGUACGAGGAUUAUAAGAGGCCAGGAUCUGACAUGUGAGCCUGAUCAUGCCAGAAACAUGGCACCA
Molecule: long non-coding RNA, 3195 nt
Filed under: Mus musculus (house mouse)
Lineage: Eukaryota; Metazoa; Chordata; Mammalia; Rodentia; Muridae
Description: long non-coding RNA chrX:35950639-35953834
Source: RNAcentral